CGGACAAAAGGGGGCGGGAUCCAACGCUAGCCUCACACCAGGUCCUGGGAGCCCCCACCAACGGCUUCACGAAAACUCUGCUCGGUAGAGUUAUUAUCCCUACUUCACAGGUGAGGAAACUAAGGCUCAGAAAAGAGAGAGAAAUAACAUGCAGGGAUGUGGCCAGAUCAUCUCUCUGUCCAUAGCACCCACUCGAAGCCCAGGGAAUUUUCAGGGAAUACUGGCUGAAUGAACAAAUGGGUCUGUGCUAAGAAUGUGUGCGCUGAUGAUGCCCAGAUUCUUGGGGCUUGGACACGGAGCUUGUGUGAAUAUUAUCUGUGCCUCGGCCACACACCCACCGCCAAUGAGAGCCUAGGCCCAUGGGAUUCCCCUGAUUGGGGAGAGAAUGGUAAAGGAAGAAGUCUUACCUGGAGGCGAGCGCUCACGGCCAUCUGGUGGUCACCUGGGGAACUGCAGGUAUUGUCAGCCCUGGUUAAAUUUCACUCCCCGCUGCUUCAGGGGAGACGGUGAUGUUUAGGAUAGAAUGGAAGGCACAGUGGAUUUGGCUACGCAUACACUGGCUUCAGAUCCCAGCUCUGCCAUCUACUCUGUGAUUUGGGGCAAGUCGUUCAGCUUCUUUAGACUUCAACUAUGAAAUGGGGAUGCAGGGUUGUUGUAAGCCCUUCGAUCUAGUCUGGCACCUGGUAGCUGGGAAGGACUGGACAGGGUAUCAGCGGUGGGAAGAAAGCAAGGAGGUAUGGCAGAGGGCAUAAGGAGGAAAGAAGAGGAGGGGCCGCACGGUAGCCCUUUAGAGAAGAGAGACCCAGUUGGCAGUGUUGGCCUCCAUCGUCCCAUUGAUAUAGGGCAGUUUGGAGCGUGGAGAGAGUGCCCAUGUGAAAAUCCAUAACUUUGCUUGAGUCUCUGGGGUUUCUCAUGACUAGAAAUAUCACUGCCCUCUUCCCUUUCCUGGCUGCCUGAGGACCAACUUCCAUCUUGAACGACACUGUAACUCUAUGGAUCAGGGCGUUCUAACCAACCAACUACUUCAGUGGAAGCAUGGUCACUGAUGUUCUUUGCCCUGAGAAGGCAACAGUACCUAAGACAGAACUUUGAGAAAAACUAGCCAAACUGUACAAGACCACACCAGCUGUCAUCUUUAUAUUUUGAGUCAGAACCCACUUUGGUGGUGGCACAACUGGCUUGGGCCUGAUUUACAAUUCCCUGGAUUAUGCAAAGAAAAAUGAACCCAAAGAGAGCCUUGCAGAACGUGGGCCGCAUGAGAAGAAAAAGACCUCCAGAAAAGAGCGAAUGGCACAGGAGAACAGAAUGAAGAAAGUCAGGUCUCCACACAGGCCAAUGUUGGUGUAGACAAACAGAAGAAGUAAAGAUUCUGCCAUGAC
Long non-coding RNA from Acinonyx jubatus (cheetah), 1379 nucleotides. RefSeq lists it as uncharacterized. The record is from RefSeq and is a predicted model, not a curated record. NCBI's taxonomy places the organism in Eukaryota, Metazoa, Chordata, Mammalia, Carnivora, Felidae. The transcript has 2 exons.